RNAcentral lists this ribosomal RNA (467 nucleotides) under uncultured bacterium. RNAcentral describes it as "partial 16S ribosomal RNA". It matches the Rfam family "Bacterial small subunit ribosomal RNA", at positions 28 to 507 of the family's 1533-position model. The record is from RNAcentral.
GACGAACGCUGGCGGCGUGCUUAACACAUGCAAGUCGAACGGAAAGGCCUCUUUCGGGGGGUACUCGAGUGGCGAACGGGUGAGUAUCACGUGAGUAACCUGCCCUUGACUUUGGGAUAACUUCAGGAAACUGGGGCUAAUACCGGAUAGGAGCUCCUGCUGCAUGGUGGGGGUUGGAAAGUUUCGGCGGUUGGGGAUGGACUCGCGGCUUAUCAGCUUGUUGGUGGGGUAGUGGCUUACCAAGGCUUUGACGGGUAGCCGGCCUGAGAGGGUGACCGGCCACAUUGGGACUGAGAUACGGCCCAGACUCCUACGGGAGGCAGCAGUGGGGAAUAUUGCACAAUGGGUGGAAGCCUGAUGCAGCAACGCCGUGUGCGGGAUGACGGCCUUCGGGUUGUAAACCGCUUUCGCUCAUGACGAAGCUUUGUGUGACGGUAGUGGGUAAAGAAGCACCGGCUAACUACGUG